This 553-nucleotide ribosomal RNA is filed under the name Botryosphaeria dothidea. RNAcentral describes it as "eukaryotic LSU rRNA". The stretch from base 195 to 348 matches the Rfam family "5.8S ribosomal RNA". The record is from RNAcentral. Lineage: Eukaryota; Fungi; Ascomycota; Dothideomycetes; Botryosphaeriales; Botryosphaeriaceae.
CGGAAGGAUCAUUACCGAGUUGAUUCGGGCUCCGGCCCGAUCCUCCCACCCUUUGUGUACCUACCUCUGUUGCUUUGGCGGGCCGCGGUCCUCCGCGGCCGCCCCCCUCCCCGGGGGGGUGGCCAGCGCCCGCCAGAGGACCAUCAAACUCCAGUCAGUAAACGAUGCAGUCUGAAAAACAUUUAAUAAACUAAAACUUUCAACAACGGAUCUCUUGGUUCUGGCAUCGAUGAAGAACGCAGCGAAAUGCGAUAAGUAAUGUGAAUUGCAGAAUUCAGUGAAUCAUCGAAUCUUUGAACGCACAUUGCGCCCUUUGGUAUUCCGAAGGGCAUGCCUGUUCGAGCGUCAUUACAACCCUCAAGCUCUGCUUGGUAUUGGGCACCGUCCUUUGCGGGCGCGCCUCAAAGACCUCGGCGGUGGCGUCUUGCCUCAAGCGUAGUAGAACAUACAUCUCGCUUCGGAGCGCAGGGCGUCGCCCGCCGGACGAACCUUCUGAACUUUUCUCAAGGUUGACCUCGGAUCAGGUAGGGAUACCCGCUGAACUUAAGCAUAU